UACGGGGGGAGCAAGCGUUGUUCGGAUUUACUGGGCGUAAAGGGCGCGUAGGCGGCGCAACAAGUCAGCUGUGAAAUCUCCGGGCUUAACCCGGAGCGGCCAGCUGAUACUGUCGUGCUAGAGUGCGGAAGGGGCUACUGGAAUUCUCGGUGUAGCGGUGAAAUGCGUAGAUAUCGAGAGGAACACCUGUGGCGAAGGCGGGUAGCUGGGCCGACACUGACGCUGAGGCGCGAAAGCUAGGGGAGCGAACGGG
This 253-nucleotide ribosomal RNA is filed under the name uncultured bacterium. RNAcentral describes it as "partial 16S ribosomal RNA". It matches the Rfam family "Bacterial small subunit ribosomal RNA", at positions 524 to 776 of the family's 1533-position model. The record is from RNAcentral.